Molecule: long non-coding RNA, 2154 nt
Filed under: Mytilus galloprovincialis (Mediterranean mussel)
Lineage: Eukaryota; Metazoa; Mollusca; Bivalvia; Mytilida; Mytilidae
Source: RNAcentral
AUACAGAUAAAAUAUUUUACAAGAAGUUAAUAUACUUCAUAAUCGUUUGGAAAGUUUCAACAAUUGUGCAUUUGCAAUACCGAUGGCCAUUUUUAAAUAUGAAGUGUGUGGCAAAUGAUUUUAAACAAAACAAUAAAUCUAAAAAAGAAAGAAAGAUCAACACUAACAAUAAUUAUUACAAACACCAAAUAACAAUAUCAGAUCUUUUAAUUAUUAAAACUAUAAAUAAUACAAUGUAUUAAAAAUAAUAUCGUAUCAUUUAUCUGCAUAAAAAGUAUAAUUAUAUUAUGUUUCAAAAUUGUUUCUAUGAAAAUUGAUGUUUACAACCAUGUAAGCAUUUUACAUUAAACUAAGAACAAUUUUAAGUAUAAAUAAAUAAACCAAGAAUGACAUACAUGUAUUUAUACUAAUUUAACAACAAUUUUGUAAGAUGGUUUCCGACUGACUAUUUUUAAUCGAACUGAAAAAAAAAUAAGGGAGAAAUCUAACUCUGAAUUUGAUCUUUUCAUAGAGAAAAAAAAUACAACAGUUAAUUGUGUAGAUACUAGUCUUUUUCGAGGUUAAAACUAUCCGCGGACUAAAAUAUACCCCCACCUCUACGGAUCGAUCUAUACAAAACCUUUUAGGUAAUAUCUUCGACCUUUGGCAGACUAUAAAUGUGAGAACAGUUAUCCUCUUUACAUGCAUUUAUCAUAACUUUGUCCAGCUCUUGAGGUUGUGAUUUAGGUAUCAGGGGCGGAUGCAGGAAUUUUCGAAAGGGGGGUGCUAACCCAGGGCAAAGGGGGGGGGGGUGCAAAGGGGUGCAAAACAUAUGUCCCGAUACAAAUGCAUUGAUCGCAAAAAUUAAGGGGGGGGUGCGCACCCCCGGAACCCCCCCCCCCCUGGAUCCGCCACUGGGUAUCUACAUUUCUGUAUUCGUGAAUAUUUUUCUCUAUUUUUUUUUCGCCAUUAUUCUCCAUGCUUUAUUCCCCAACUCUAAUUCUCUGCACUUUAUAUUUCAGCGCCCCUUUUUUUCUCUUUUCUUUAUUUUUUGACUCAUUUUUGAACUUUUUUGUAAACCUCAACCAGAGUAGACGAAACCCCCUUACUUAUCUGUAACAAAUGACAAAGUUUCCUUAUUGACUGACAUUCUCCUGAAUUUAUUGCAUAAGAAUGUUUUUAUUUCUAUUUCUCUCUAAAAUUCAAACUAUCCUAAAUAAUUGAAGCAUAGACCUCUCUAUAUUAAACUUUUAGAAAAUAUUUAGUUUAAACAGUAAGAUAAUAUUAAUUAUAUCGCAUAGAACAUACCUAAUGUAACCAAGAUGCAGUCAUGUUUACGAGGGUCUGGAUGGGGUUUAAAGAGUAAAGAAUAACGUAGAGGAUAAAUGUAUUAACACUUCAUACGAAAUAAAAUACAGCCAAUAGUACACAUACAUGUACGUACAUGCGCCAACAGUAAGAUCUUUUACAAUACAAUUUCUUAUGUUUCAUAGAAGUGUAAAUAAAAUACAAUAAACAUGCUACCAAAUACGAGCGGGGAAUGAUAUUCUGUAAUGAACACAAAAUGUGAAACACAGCUUGUACAUGUACCAUGGAAGAAUUAUAGUGUCAAUAUAAAUAUGCAUGUUUCUAUGCAUGAAUAAUGUAAAAAUAAGAAGAAUUGCAUGGCAUGAUUGCCAAUGAAAGAACUCUUCACCAGAGACAAAAUGACAUAGUUUUCUACUAUAAUAGGUCACUAUAUGGCCUUCGACGAUGUGCAAACCCAUAUCACAUCUAGUAAUCUAUAAAAUCCGUAAUGGCAAAUGUAAAAUAAUUCAAACGCGAAAACUAACGACUUGAUUUAUGUACAAAACAAUGAACGAAAAACAAAUCUGAUAUACAGCAACAAGCGACAACUAACGAAUUACAGGCCUAACUCCUGACUAUCGACACGUACAUACAUAAUAGUAUGGAGGGUUAAUUAAACAUGUGUGUUGGUGCAAGACCAUCUCACUAAUGGGCUGACCUAAAGUAUUUACAAAAUAUAUGAUUGAUUUGUGUAUAUAGUCAACAGGUGUAUCUAAAUAAAAUUAAAUAACAUGUUUACCAUAAAUAUAUAUCUACAAAAAUGACAUUUACAUGAAACAUAAAAAAACACGUUGUUUCUUCACUAAGAAAUGCAAACAUUUGUUUUCA